RNAcentral lists this ribosomal RNA (459 nucleotides) under uncultured bacterium. Its description in RNAcentral is "partial 16S ribosomal RNA". It matches the Rfam family "Bacterial small subunit ribosomal RNA", at positions 338 to 795 of the family's 1533-position model. The record is from RNAcentral.
CCUACGGGGGGCAGCAGUGAGGAAUAUUGGUCAAUGGGCGCGAGCCUGAACCAGCCAAGUCGCGUGAGGGAAGACGGUCCUAUGGAUUGUAAACCUCUUUUGUCGGGGAGCAAAAGAAGCUACGCGUGGCGUUCCGAGAGUACCCGACGAAAAAGCAUCGGCUAACUCCGUGCCAGCAGCCGCGGUAAUACGGGGGAUGCGAGCGUUAUCCGGAUUUAUUGGGUUUAAGGGGUGCGCAGGCGGACGAUCAAUUCGACGGUAAAAUUGCGGGGCUCAACCUCUUCGAGCCGUUGAAACUGUUUUGCUUGAGUGAGUGAGAAGUAGGCGGAAUGCGUGGUGUAGCGGUGAAAUGCAUAGAGAUCACGCAGAACUCCGAUUGCGAAGGCAGCAUACCGGCGUUCAACUGACGCUGAUGCACGAAAGUGUGGGUAUCAAACAGGAUUAGAUACCCGAGUAGUC